RNAcentral lists this ribosomal RNA (254 nucleotides) under uncultured bacterium. RNAcentral's name for it is "partial 16S ribosomal RNA". It matches the Rfam family "Bacterial small subunit ribosomal RNA", at positions 524 to 776 of the family's 1533-position model. The record is from RNAcentral.
UACGUAGGGUGCGAGCGUUGUCCGGAAUUAUUGGGCGUAAAGAGCUCGUAGGCGGUGUGUCGCGUCGGUCGUGAAAACUUGGGGCUUAACCCUGAGCUUGCGGUCGAUACGGGCAUCACUUGAGUUCGGCAGGGGAGACUGGAAUUCCUGGUGUAGCGGUGAAAUGCGCAGAUAUCAGGAAGAACACCCGUGGCGAAGGCGGCUCUCUGGGACGGUACUGACGCUGAGACGCGAAAGCGUGGGGAGCGAACAGG